UCUCUCUGCCUCUCUCUCUGGUCCUUCCCCAAGUACACUUGCUUGGGCUCGCUCGCUCUCUCUCAAAAUAGAUUAAAAAAAAAAAAAAAAGGAGGAAUCAAAGACUGCUAAUUGGUUUCUGCUUCUAUUAGCUAUCUCUACCUUCAGACCCAAUCCAUAAAAAGAUGCAGACACAUGACUAGAAACCCUCUGUGAUGGACUGUAAUGGGUCUAACUCUUCAUCUCUCCCUAAAUCCAUGCCCUCGGUCAAUAAUGUUGGAAUCCUUUCAUAAAGGCAGAGUUCAUUUCCUGCUCCAUGUGAUCUCAUUCGGCCAAGAAAGCAAGACAGAAGUAUACUAGUUCUGAGCCUAGGUCUCAAGAGGCCUGGUAUCCCUGCUUAAGCUUCUGACCUCAGCCUGAGAACAUGUGUGGGCUAGCCCACUGGUCCCACGAGGAUGUGAAACACAAGGAGAGAUGAAUCUUCAUGGCCCUACCAAAACAAGCCAAGAUUAGCAGACCUCCGAUUGAAUCUAGCCUGGAUUAGCUCAAUGUUGCAGUGGUAUAGGAAAUAAAUGUUUAUUAUUUUAAGUCACUGAAUUUUGGGAUAGCUUGUUUCGUAGCAAUGGCUAACUCAUACACCGUCUAAAAAUCAAAGCAGCUGCUAGUUAGGAACUACAUUAUUAUGACAAAAACACAUUCCCAUGCAGACUGAAAGAACCAAAGUUGAAAGGGAAAACUAAGUAUUACUACAAGUUUAAACACUCAGUAAUAUAUUCUGAACAUCAAGUGAUACUUUUUAAAUCAUAUCAAGAGGAUAUAAACAACAGGGACAACUCCUGCAGUGUUUUCUUACUUAUCAUAGGAUCCAGAAAUCAGAGUCUGUGCUUCAAAUGGAUGAAACUGCAGAGUCUGGACCUAAAAGAAGGAAACAUAAAAACAGAUCUAUGUUUGUUUGGUUUUGGUAAAACUGCUUAAUACUCAACAGAAUCAAUUUGGCAAUGUUUCCAUAAAUUUUUCCUUUGAAAUGUAGUACUAGUUAAAGAAACAAACGUACUACAUAGUCAAAAGGACAAAACACAUUUUCAAAUAAAAGCAGUCACUUAAAAGACAUAAUGCAGCAUUUCUCAAGUUGUGUUUCACAGAAUGCACAUGUCCCUCAAAUGCUAAAUAUGUGCAGAACAAAACAGGGAGUGGCCAAGCUUACCUGGACAACUCCACACACUCCGGAAGCCCCACAAUGUACACCAGCACAUUAGAUCCCCGAGUUCUGCAGUAACACAUCUGUUACAUUCUUUAACCUCAUCUGGUGACUGACACCCCUGUCUCUUUUUAGGGUCUCGGUAAACAUGCUAUAAUGUACUAGUGUUUCCAGUCACUUCAUCUUUUUGUCUUCAUCUCUAAGAAAAUGAACAAGCUGGUUUUUCAAUUCAUAUGAAAAUGCAAGGGACUCAGAAUAGCCAAAAUGAUCUUGGAAAAGAAGAGCAAAAUUGAUAAGCUCACAGUUUGGAUUUCAAAAUGGACUGAAAAGCCACAAUAAUCCUAACAAUGUGCUACUGGCUUAAGGACAGACACACAGGUGAACAGAAUAGAAUGAAGAAUAAACCCUCAAACUUGUGGUCAUUUGUUUCUGACAAGAAGGUUCGUAUCAUUCACCGGUCAGUGGGGAAAAGAACAGUAUUUUCAACAAAUAGUUCAGGGACAACUGGAUAUCCCCACACAAAAGAAUGAAGUUAGACCCCUAUCUCACACUGUACUCAGAAGAGAUCAUGGACCUGCCAAUGUAAGAGCUAAAACUAUAGAACUCUCAGAAGAAAAGAGGUAUAAAUCUUUGCACCCCGGGUUAGGCAAUGGUUUCUCAGAUAUGACACAAAAAGCCUAAGCAACAAAAGGUAUAAAUAAAUGAAACAUCAGCAACAUGAAAAACUUUUGUAUUGCAAAUGAUACCAUCAAGAAAUUGAAAA
Molecule: long non-coding RNA, 1940 nt
Organism: Felis catus (domestic cat)
Lineage: Eukaryota; Metazoa; Chordata; Mammalia; Carnivora; Felidae
Exons: 2
Source: RefSeq, a predicted model, not a curated record